This 253-nucleotide ribosomal RNA is filed under the name uncultured bacterium. Its description in RNAcentral is "partial 16S ribosomal RNA". It matches the Rfam family "Bacterial small subunit ribosomal RNA", at positions 524 to 776 of the family's 1533-position model. The record is from RNAcentral.
UACAGAGGGGGCAAGCGUUAUUCGGAAUUACUGGGCGUAAAGCGUGCGCAGGCGGUGAUGUAAGACAGAUGUGAAAUCCCCGGGCUCAACCUGGGAACUGCAUUUGUGACUGCAUCGCUGGAGUACGGCAGAGGGGGAUGGAAUUCCGCGUGUAGCAGUGAAAUGCGUAGAUAUGCGGAGGAACACCGAUGGCGAAGGCAAUCCCCUGGGCCUGCACUGACGCUCAUGCACGAAAGCGUGGGGAGCAAACAGG